Molecule: long non-coding RNA, 690 nt
Organism: Myotis daubentonii (Daubenton's bat)
Lineage: Eukaryota; Metazoa; Chordata; Mammalia; Chiroptera; Vespertilionidae
Source: RefSeq, a predicted model, not a curated record
GCUUUUGAGAUGCCAGUUGGAUUCAGAAGUUUCCAAAUAAAUGUGAGAAGGUGCCUUUCCAAAAGACAAGCAUCAUCAUCCCUUUGAGAAAAGAAUUACAAAGCCUGGGUCCUUGUCACUGGGAUGCGUUUCAAAUGGAAAAUCACUGACGUCUGGAAUUUUGUUCCGGUGUAACCAAAGCUCUAUGGUGCACACCGUUUCCGGGUCAGUCCUUUGAGACUGGCCUGUGGGCAUAAUCAGGCCCCUCUCCGACUGCUCCUCCUCCGUCCCUUUUGUGUCUGCCUGUUGGAGAAAUGCCCCGUGGUGAAGCUGGAAGUCAGAGGACAGAGUCAUACUGGAAGUAGAUGUCGCCUCACGCUAGGCCCUGGGUUUUCCAAGAGAGCAAUGGCUCCCUGGCAUUCUAUGUUUGUAGGACAAGUAGGAGAAGGAGGUGGACAAGGAGAAGGACAUUUAAAAGAAGAGAGUGACUGAGUUCCAUCGCGGAUCUUUCCCCCACUCAGGACAGACUUUGCGACGGCCACGCCUUGCUCACCAGCCUGGGCCGUGCCCGAGGUUGCAGAGUCUCUGGGUCACCCUGAGUCAGAUCUUGUGUCUUCGAUGUUGAUUUUGAAAUGUAGAAGCCAAUCGUUUUCCUGAGAAGUGUGGUCUGAGAUAAAUGUCUAUCUAAGUAAAGGAAGGCAAGACUCCGUC